This is a regulatory RNA element of 132 nucleotides. It matches the Rfam family "PyrR binding site". Rfam says of the family: This family represents the PyrR binding site and terminator structure. This RNA structure is found upstream of a variety of genes involved in pyrimidine biosynthesis and transport. The alignment also includes a portion of the antiterminator structure. The record is from Rfam.
AAGUCCUUUAAAGACAGUCCCGUGAGGCUGAGAAGGAAACGGAUUUGCAGGCAGGCAUAUGAUGUAUGUUCUGAUGCAUGCUAACACCACACGUUUACCCUCUUGCCGAUACAGACAAGAGGGUUUUUUACU